Molecule: ribosomal RNA, 367 nt
Filed under: uncultured archaeon
Lineage: Archaea
Description: bacterial SSU rRNA
Rfam family: Archaeal small subunit ribosomal RNA
Source: RNAcentral
ACUGGUGUCAGCCGCCGCGGUAAUACCAGCUCUCCGAGUUGUAGGGAUGAUUAUUGGGCUUAAAGCGUCCGUAGCCGGCUUGGCAAGUCUCCUGUUAAAUUCAGCGACCUAAUCGUUGAGCCGCGGGAGAUACUACUAGGCUAGGAGGCGGGAGAGGUCGACGGUACUUUCGGGGUAGGGGUGAAAUCCUAUAAUCCCGGGAGGACCACCAGUGGCGAAGGCUGUUGACUAGAACGCGCUCGACGGUGAGGGACGAAAGCUGGGGGAGCGAACCGGAUUAGAUACCCGGGUAGUCCCAGCUGUAAACUAUGCGGGCUAGGUGUCGGUGUGGCUACGAGCCACUCCGGUGCCGCAGGGAAACUCAUAA